Molecule: ribosomal RNA, 498 nt
Filed under: uncultured bacterium
Lineage: Bacteria
Description: bacterial SSU rRNA
Rfam family: Bacterial small subunit ribosomal RNA
Source: RNAcentral
CUACGUGCCAGCAGCCGCGGUAAUACGGAGGGUGCGAGCGUUAAUCGGAAUAACUGGGCGUAAAGGGCACGCAGGCGGUUAUUUAAGUGAGGUGUGAAAGCCCCGGGCUUAACCUGGGAAUUGCAUUUCAUACUGGGUCGCUAGAGUACUUUAGGGAGGGGUAGAAUUCCACGUGUAGCGGUGAAAUGCGUAGAGAUGUGGAGGAAUACCGAAGGCGAAGGCAGCCCCUUGGGAAUGUACUGACGCUCAUGUGCGAAAGCGUGGGGAGCAAACAGGAUUAGAUACCCUGGUAGUCCACGCUGUAAACGAUGUCGAUUUGGGGGUUGAGCUUUGAGUUUGGCGCCCGUAGCUAACGUGAUAAAUCGACCGCCUGGGGAGUACGGCCGCAAGGUUAAAACUCAAAUGAAUUGACGGGGGCCCGCACAAGCGGUGGAGCAUGUGGUUUAAUUCGAUGCAACGCGAAGAACCUUACCUACUCUUGACAUCCAGAGAACAUUC